RNAcentral lists this ribosomal RNA (455 nucleotides) under uncultured bacterium. Its description in RNAcentral is "partial 16S ribosomal RNA". It matches the Rfam family "Bacterial small subunit ribosomal RNA", at positions 343 to 795 of the family's 1533-position model. The record is from RNAcentral.
CCUGGGCGGCUGUGAGGAAUAUUGGUCAAUGGACGAGAGUCUGAACCAGCCAAGUAGCGUGAAGGAUGACUGCCCUAUGGGUUGUAAACUUCUUUUAUAAAGGAAUAAAACGAGGCACGUGUGCCUUUUUGCAUGUACUUUAUGAAUAAGGAUCGGCUAACUCCGUGCCAGCAGCCGCGGUAAUACGGAGGAUCCGAGCGUUAUCCGGAUUUAUUGGGUUUAAAGGGAGCGUAGAUGGGUUGUUAAGUCAGUUGUGAAAGUUUGCGGCUCAACCGUAAAAUUGCAAUUGAUACUGGCAGUCUUGAGUACAGUUGAGGUAGGCGGAAUUCGUGGUGUAGCGGUGAAAUGCUUAGAUAUCACGAAGAACCCCGAUUGCGAAGGCAGCUUACCAAUCUAUAUCUGACGUUGAGGCACGAAAGCGUGGGGAGCAAACAGGAUUAGAUACCCCUGUAGUC